GGAAAGGGAACAAGAGACAGAGACUUAUGCUAGCAUCCUGCUUCCUGAAUGAUACACAGCUUAGAUGCUGUUGGAAUCUCUUUCCCACAAGAAGUAUGGAUAAUUCCAGACCGUAUGACUUUAAGAAGCAAGUGUGCUGUGAGUAUUGCAAGUUCUUUAUACAAAUUGCUUUGGAACCUCC
This 181-nucleotide long non-coding RNA is filed under the name Salvator merianae (Argentine black and white tegu). RNAcentral's name for it is "lncRNA (ENSSMRG00000023470.1)". Lineage: Eukaryota; Metazoa; Chordata; Lepidosauria; Squamata; Teiidae. The record is from RNAcentral.